This 443-nucleotide ribosomal RNA is filed under the name uncultured bacterium. RNAcentral describes it as "partial 16S ribosomal RNA". It matches the Rfam family "Bacterial small subunit ribosomal RNA", at positions 338 to 795 of the family's 1533-position model. The record is from RNAcentral.
CCUACGGGAGGCAGCAGUGGGGAAUCUUGGGCAAUGGACGCAAGCCUGACCCAGCAACGCCGCGUGAAGGAAGAAGGCUUUCGGGUUGUAAACUUCUUUUCUGAGGGACGAAGAAAGUGACUGUACCUCAGGAAUACGCCACGGCUAACUACGUGCCAGCAGCCGCGGUAAUACGUAGGUGGCAAGCGUUAUCCGGAUUUAUUGGGUGUAAAGGGCGUGUAGGCGGGAAAGCAAGUCAGAUGUGAAAACUCAGGGCUCAACCCGGAGGCUGCAUUUGAAACUGUUUUUCUUGAGUGCGGGAGAGGCAAUCGGAAUGCCGUGUGUAGCGGUGAAAUGCGUAGAUAUACGGAGGAACACCAGUGGCGAAGGCGGAUUGCUGGACAGUAACUGACGCUGAGGCGCGAAAGCGUGGGGAGCAAACAGGAUUAGAUACCCCAGUAGUC